UACGGAGGGUCCAAGCGUUAUCCGGAAUCAUUGGGUUUAAAGGGUCCGUAGGCGGUUUUGUAAGUCAGUGGUGAAAGCCCAUCGCUCAACGGUGGAACGGCCAUUGAUACUGCAAGACUUGAAUUAUUGGGAAGUAACUAGAAUAUGUAGUGUAGCGGUGAAAUGCUUAGAGAUUACAUGGAAUACCAAUUGCGAAGGCAGGUUACUAUCAAUAUAUUGACGCUGAUGGACGAAAGCGUGGGGAGCGAACAGG
Molecule: ribosomal RNA, 253 nt
Filed under: uncultured bacterium
Lineage: Bacteria
Description: partial 16S ribosomal RNA
Rfam family: Bacterial small subunit ribosomal RNA
Source: RNAcentral